GGAGUUAGCCGGUGCUUCUUCUGUGAGUGAUGUCCUUCCUGCCGGCUAUUAACCCGCAGGCCUUCUUCCUCACUGAAAGUGCUUUACAACCCGAAGGCCUUCUUCACACACGCGGCAUGGCUGGAUCAGGGUUGCCCCCAUUGUCCAAUAUUCCCCACUGCUGCCUCCCGUAGGAGUCUGGGCCGUGUCUCAGUCCCAGUGUGGCUGAUCAUCCUCUCAGACCAGCUACGGAUCGUCGCCUUGGUGAGCCGUUACCUCACCAACCAGCUAAUCCGACAUAGGCUCAUCCGAUAGCGCGAGGCCCGAAGGUCCCCCGCUUUCCCCCGUAGGGCGUAUGCGGUAUUAGCCUGGGUUUCCCCCAGGUUAUCCCCCACUACCGGGGCAGAUUCCUAUGCAUUACUCACCCGUCCGCCGCUCGCCACCAGGGAGCAAGCUCCCCGUGCUGCCGCUCGACUUGCAUGUGUUAGGCCUGCCGCCAGCGUUCAAUCUGAGCCAUAAUCAAACUCUGA
RNAcentral lists this ribosomal RNA (509 nucleotides) under uncultured bacterium. RNAcentral's name for it is "partial 16S ribosomal RNA". The record is from RNAcentral.